CGGAGGGUGCAAGCGUUAUCCGGAUUUAUUGGGUUUAAAGGGUCCGUAGGCGGACCGAUAAGUCAGUGGUGAAAUCUCAUAGCUUAACUAUGAAACUGCCAUUGAUACUGUCGGUCUUGAGUAAAUUAGAGGUAGCUGGAAUAAGUAGUGUAGCGGUGAAAUGCAUAGAUAUUACUUAGAACACCAAUUGCGAAGGCAGGUUACCAUGAUUUAACUGACGCUGAGGGACGAAAGCGUGGGUAGCGAACAGGAUU
Molecule: ribosomal RNA, 254 nt
Filed under: uncultured bacterium
Lineage: Bacteria
Description: partial 16S ribosomal RNA
Rfam family: Bacterial small subunit ribosomal RNA
Source: RNAcentral